RNAcentral lists this ribosomal RNA (424 nucleotides) under uncultured bacterium. RNAcentral describes it as "partial 16S ribosomal RNA". It matches the Rfam family "Bacterial small subunit ribosomal RNA", at positions 360 to 776 of the family's 1533-position model. The record is from RNAcentral.
AAUAUUGGACAAUGGGCGCAAGCCUGAUCCACCCAUCCCGCGUGUGUGAAGACGGUCUUCGGAUUGUAUAGCACUUUAAUUUGGGAGGAAGGGCAGUGAGCGAAUACUUAGGUGUUUUGACUUUCGCAAAAGUAUAAGCAGCGGCUUACUUCGUGCCAGGAGCCGCAGUAAUACGAAGGGUGCAAGCGUUAAUCGGUAUUUCUGGGCGUAAAGUGCGCGGAAGUGGGUCGUUAAGGUUGAGAUGAAAGCCCCGGGCUCCAACUGGGAAUCGCUUUCAAAACUGGCGAGCUAGAGUACGGUAGAGGGCGGCGGAAUUUCCUGUGUAGCGGUGAAAUGCGUAUGUAUAGGAAGGAACAUCAGUGGCGAAGGCGACCACCUGGACUGAUACUGACACUGAGGUGAGAAAGCGUGGGGAGCAAACAGG